RNAcentral lists this ribosomal RNA (492 nucleotides) under uncultured bacterium. RNAcentral's name for it is "partial 16S ribosomal RNA". It matches the Rfam family "Bacterial small subunit ribosomal RNA", at positions 29 to 507 of the family's 1533-position model. The record is from RNAcentral.
AGUGAACGCUGGCGGUAGGCCUAACACAUGCCAGUCGAACGGCAGCACAGUAAGAGCUUGCUCUUACGGGUGGCGAGUGGCGGACGGGUGAGGAAUACAUCGGCAUCUACUUUUUCGUGGGGGAUAACGUAGGGAAACUUACGCUAAUACCGCAUACGACCUACGGGUGAAAGCAGGGGAUCUUCGGACCUUUCGCGAUUGAAUGAGCCGAUGUCGGAUUAGCUAGUUGGCGGGGUAAAGGCCCACCAAGGCGACGAUCCGUAGCUGGUCUGAGAGGAUGAUCAGCCACACUGGAACUGAGACACGGUCCAGACUCCUACGGGAGGCAGCAGUGGGGAAUAUUGGACAAUGGGCGCAAGCCUGAUCCAGCCAUACCGCGUGGGUGAAGAAGGCCUUCGGGUUGUAAAGCCCUUUUGUUGGGAAAGAAAAGCAGCAGGUUAAUACCCCGCUGUUCUGACGGUACCCAAAGAAUAAGCACCGGCUAACUUCGUG